GUGCCAGCCGCCGCGGUAAAACGUAGGAGCCUAGCGUUAUCCGAAUUUACUGGGCGUAAAGCGCGUGCAGGCGGUUCGGUAAGUUGGGUGUGAAAUCUCCUGGCUCAACUAGGAGAGGUCGCUCAAUACUGUCGGACUUGAGGUUGGUAGAGGGAGGUGGAAUUCCCGGUGUAGUGGUGAAAUGCGUAGAUAUCGGGAGGAAUACCAGUGGCGAAGGCGGCCUCCUGGACCACACCUGACGCUCAGACGCGAAAGCUAGGGGAGCAAACGGGAUUAGAUACCCCCGUAGUCC
RNAcentral lists this ribosomal RNA (292 nucleotides) under uncultured bacterium. RNAcentral describes it as "partial 16S ribosomal RNA". It matches the Rfam family "Bacterial small subunit ribosomal RNA", at positions 505 to 796 of the family's 1533-position model. The record is from RNAcentral.